This 253-nucleotide ribosomal RNA is filed under the name uncultured bacterium. RNAcentral describes it as "partial 16S ribosomal RNA". It matches the Rfam family "Bacterial small subunit ribosomal RNA", at positions 524 to 776 of the family's 1533-position model. The record is from RNAcentral.
UACGAAGGGUGCAAGCGUUGUUCGGAAUUAUUGGGCGUAAAGCGCGUGUAGGCGGCUUUGCAAGUCGGGUGUGAAAGCCCUCAGCUCAACUGAGGAAGUGCGCCCGAAACUGCAGAGCUUGAGUACCGGAGAGGAUGGCGGAAUUCCCCAAGUAGAGGUGAAAUUCGUAGAUAUGGGGAGGAACACCGGUGGCGAAGGCGGCCAUCUGGACGGAUACUGACGCUGAGACGCGAAAGCGUGGGGAGCAAACAGG